This 353-nucleotide ribosomal RNA is filed under the name uncultured bacterium. RNAcentral's name for it is "bacterial SSU rRNA". It matches the Rfam family "Bacterial small subunit ribosomal RNA", at positions 70 to 422 of the family's 1533-position model. The record is from RNAcentral.
CACAGGAGAGCUUGCUCUCUGGGUGGCGAGUGGCGGACGGGUGAGGAAUACAUGGGAAUCUACCCUGUCGUGGGGGAUAACGUAGGGAAACUUACGCUAAUACCGCAUACGACCGAGAGGUGAAAGCGGCGGACCGCAAGGCGUCGCGCGACUGGAUGAGCCCAUGUCGGAUUAGCUUGUUGGCGGGGUAACGGCCCACCAAGGCGACGAUCCGUAGCUGGUCUGAGAGGAUGAUCAGCCACACUGGAACUGAGACACGGUCCAGACUCCUACGGGAGGCAGCAGUGGGGAAUAUUGGACAAUGGGCGCAAGCCUGAUCCAGCCAUGCCGCGUGUGUGAAGAAGGCCUUCGGG